UCCUCAAACAGGAAUCCCGAGGACGACGAC
Molecule: non-coding RNA, 30 nt
Filed under: Homo sapiens (human)
Lineage: Eukaryota; Metazoa; Chordata; Mammalia; Primates; Hominidae
Source: RNAcentral